ACGCUCGACACCUACGAGGCAGCAGUGAGGAAUAUUGGUCAAUGGGCGCAGGCCUGAACCAGCCAAGUAGCGUGAAGGAUGACUGCCCUAUGGGUUGUAAACUUCUUUUAUAUGGGAAUAAAGUUUUCCACGUGUGGAAUUUUGUAUGUACCAUAUGAAUAAGGAUCGGCUAACUCCGUGCUAGCAGCCGCGGUAAUCUGAGCGGGCUGGCAAGGC
RNAcentral lists this ribosomal RNA (216 nucleotides) under uncultured bacterium. RNAcentral describes it as "partial 16S ribosomal RNA". It matches the Rfam family "Bacterial small subunit ribosomal RNA", at positions 326 to 539 of the family's 1533-position model. The record is from RNAcentral.